UGGGCGAAAGCCUGAUCCAGCAAUGCCGCGUGAGUGAUGAAGGCCUUAGGGUUGUAAAGCUCUUUUACCAGGGAUGAUAAUGACAGUACCUGGAGAAUAAGCUCCGGCUAACUCCGUGCCAGCAGCCGCGGUAAUACGGAGGGAGCUAGCGUUGUUCGGAAUUACUGGGCGUAAAGAGAACGUAGGCGGCUUUUCAAGUCAGGGGUGAAAUCCCGGGGCUCAACCCCGGAACUGCCCUUGAAACUGGAUGGCUAGAAUCCUGGAGAGGUUAGUGGAAUUCCGAGUGUAGAGGUGAAAUUCGUAGAUAUUCGGAAGAACACCAGUGGCGAAGGCGACUGACUGGACAGGUAUUGACGCUGAGGUUCGAAAGCGUGGGGAGCAAACAGGAUUAGAUACCCUGGUAGUCCACGCCGUAAACGAUGAUAACUAGUUGUUCGGGCUCAUAGAGCUUGAGUGACGCAGCUAACGCAU
Molecule: ribosomal RNA, 471 nt
Filed under: uncultured Erythrobacter sp.
Lineage: Bacteria; Pseudomonadati; Pseudomonadota; Alphaproteobacteria; Sphingomonadales; Erythrobacteraceae
Description: bacterial SSU rRNA
Rfam family: Bacterial small subunit ribosomal RNA
Source: RNAcentral